GGGGUUAUAGUUAAAUUAACAUUUAUUUUGCAAGUAAAAAAUACUGAAUUAAUACAGUUAUCCUCA
This 66-nucleotide transfer RNA is filed under the name Pycanum ochraceum. RNAcentral's name for it is "tRNA-Ala". The record is from RNAcentral. Lineage: Eukaryota; Metazoa; Arthropoda; Insecta; Hemiptera; Tessaratomidae.